AUGGCCCAUGAGAUGGAUUUGAUGGUGGCGACUCACAUUAGCGAAAGGAGAGCAGGGGACUGGGAAAUCCCCCCGCAACCUGGACGGCUUUUCUCUCUCCUGCCCUCCUCCUCGGGUCCGCUUUGUCGAUCAAGAUGGGAGAGCUUUGCAAAAACCAAGCUCUCGAGGGAACCGUGUCAAUUCGACUUGGAAAUUAUUCUAAAAGGACAGGAAUCAGCAAAAGCCAUUUACUCUGAUGUGUUUGGGAUGAUCGAGCCAGGAAGGCUGAUCGAGAUUUGAGUCAGACGCAGCCGGGUCCUCCGCGGACCUCCCAAAACGCAGCCUGUCAUUUAUGCCUAAAUGUACCUAGGGAUCUUGGAUUUCUGACCCCCGAGAACUCGGGAUGUCCCGUGCACGGGAAAACGUGCCCAUUAUGCAAAACUUCCCUCGGGCUUCUCCUCCCAGAGAUGCCCUGUCUCUUCCCAGUUAGCGAGAAAAUGGCGGAGAGAGUCUUCUUCCAAGUGGGAGAAGCUCCCUCUGCAGAAAGCCCAGCGUUUGGCCAUGUCAUCGGCCCCUGGCGGGGAGCACACGGGGUGGCCUCCCUGCGGCCCAGACCCCGCGCCGGCACGCUGGUCGGUUCCCGUGGGGCUGCAAAAUGGCCCUUCCUGUGAAAUGACUUGGUUACGUUUUGCCAAGUGCUGACCAGCCCUGAAAGCAGCAGGACGCGUGGUUUUAGUGUGCUUUGAACCUCUCAAGAAGAUUCCUAACAUUUCAUACUGUUAAUACUUUGGAAAUUUAUUAUUGUUGAAAGCAUAUAUUACUAUUUUCACAUCCUUUCAAUAAACUCUUUUCUUAAGAAACAAAAUGGGUUUUCCGACAGUUUUUGUUGUUCCUCUAUGUGGCCACUAACUUUCUGGGUGCAAGGACGCCCACGGGCCCGUGACCUUGGGCACUGACUGCUCGGUUCUCGGACACUGGGGAGCGGGGCAGAAAGCCGAGACACGGGAUGCUUCUGCGACGACAGGUAGACCUUUGAAAAGGAAGUUCUAGACUUGCAG
This 1037-nucleotide long non-coding RNA is filed under the name Sarcophilus harrisii (Tasmanian devil). RNAcentral describes it as "lncRNA (ENSSHAG00000025207.1)". The record is from RNAcentral. Lineage: Eukaryota; Metazoa; Chordata; Mammalia; Dasyuromorphia; Dasyuridae.